GUGUCAGCAGCCGCGGUAAUACGAAGGGGGCUAGCGUUGUUCGGAUUUACUGGGCGUAAAGCGCACGUAGGCGGAUCGUUAAGUCGGGGGUGAAAUCCUGGAGCUCAACUCCAGAACUGCCUUCGAUACUGGCGAUCUUGAGUCCGGAAGAGGUGAGUGGAACUCCUAGUGUAGAGGUGGAAUUCGUAGAUAUUAGGAAGAACACCAGUGGCGAAGGCGGCUCACUGGUCCGGUACUGACGCUGAGGUGCGAAAGCGUGGGGAGCAAACAGGAUUAGAAACCCCCGUAGUCC
RNAcentral lists this ribosomal RNA (292 nucleotides) under uncultured bacterium. Its description in RNAcentral is "partial 16S ribosomal RNA". It matches the Rfam family "Bacterial small subunit ribosomal RNA", at positions 505 to 796 of the family's 1533-position model. The record is from RNAcentral.